RNAcentral lists this ribosomal RNA (736 nucleotides) under Paenibacillus sp. P3701. RNAcentral's name for it is "bacterial SSU rRNA". It matches the Rfam family "Bacterial small subunit ribosomal RNA", at positions 28 to 744 of the family's 1533-position model. Lineage: Bacteria; Bacillati; Bacillota; Bacilli; Caryophanales; Paenibacillaceae. The record is from RNAcentral.
GACGAACGCUGGCGGCGUGCCUAAUACAUGCAAGUCGAGCGGACUUGAUGAAGUGCUUGCACUUCUGACGGUUAGCGGCGGACGGGUGAGUAACACGUAGGUAACCUGCCUGUAAGACCGGGAUAACAUUCGGAAACGGAUGCUAAUACCGGAUACGCGAUUUCUUCGCAUGGAGGAAUCGGGAAAGACGGAGCAAUCUGUCACUUACAGAUGGACCUGCGGCGCAUUAGCUAGUUGGUGAGGUAACGGCUCACCAAGGCGACGAUGCGUAGCCGACCUGAGAGGGUGAUCGGCCACACUGGGACUGAGACACGGCCCAGACUCCUACGGGAGGCAGCAGUAGGGAAUCUUCCGCAAUGGACGAAAGUCUGACGGAGCAACGCCGCGUGAGUGAUGAAGGUUUUCGGAUCGUAAAGCUCUGUUGCCAGGGAAGAACGCCUCGGAGAGUAACUGCUCCGGGGGUGACGGUACCUGAGAAGAAAGCCCCGGCUAACUACGUGCCAGCAGCCGCGGUAAUACGUAGGGGGCAAGCGUUGUCCGGAAUUAUUGGGCGUAAAGCGCGCGCAGGCGGCUUUGUAAGUCUGAUGUUUAAUACACGGGCUCAACCCGUGUUCGCAUUGGAAACUGCAAGGCUUGAGUGCAGAAGAGGAAAGUGGAAUUCCACGUGUAGCGGUGAAAUGCGUAGAGAUGUGGAGGAACACCAGUGGCGAAGGCGACUUUCUGGGCUGUAACUGAC